Molecule: long non-coding RNA, 718 nt
Filed under: Rattus norvegicus (Norway rat)
Lineage: Eukaryota; Metazoa; Chordata; Mammalia; Rodentia; Muridae
Description: long non-coding RNA NONRATT026607
Source: RNAcentral
UAAAUACUGAGUGUGCUCCAGCAGGGGACUUCUUGAACCAAUAAUGGAGGAGGCCCCAAGCAGGAAGAAGGGGCAAAAAUAUUUGUGCAAAUAGUGACAGCCAUAAAUUACUGACAUAGCCUUGACUUGGUCUGUGCAGACAUAAACACCAGAAUAUCCUCAGCGAGUCAGAGGUUGAUGAGAAAUAGACAGAGAUGACCUGAACCUCAAUGCAGACUUUGCAUCUUCCUGAAAAGGCAGCAUGGGUCCAAGGGAAUAAUGCUGUAGACCUCACACUAGAUGAGCCAUUUGAUGGCAGAAGAACAGAUGUGGGCAGUCUGGGCAUGCUACUUUAUUUUAUCACCACAUGUUCCCACACAUUCAUAGUAAACACCAUGGAAAAGACAAAUACUGUCACAGGGACCUAUGACAUUGCAACUCACUUCUCUUGGUAAAUUGAAAUCUAAAUCCCCAGACACUCACAUUUUCCCCAAAGUUGAGUUCCUCCAUAGAAAACAUGGAGGGACAUUCCCAGGUAAUGAAAUGUGAAGUUAAUAUGUAGACUGUGACUUCUCCAGAUUCUAACAUUAUGGACAGGCUUUGAAUCAUGGAGUUUCAUGUCAAGUAACUGGAAUCCCCCAAAAAAGUAAAUGGAAAAGAUGGGGCCCUAACUACUCUAGAAGAACAGACACAAGAUGUGAGCAUGGAUCUAAGACUUCAUCCAAGCCUGUGGAUCCAG